CCUACGGGAGGCAGCAGUGGGGGAUAUUGCACAAUGGGGGAAACCCUGAUGCAGCGACGCCGCGUGGGCGAAGAAGUAUUUCGGUAUGUAAAGCCCUAUCAGCAGGGAAGAAAAAAUGACGGUACCGGAGUAAGAACCACCGGCUAAAUACGUGCCGGCAGCCGCGGUAAUACGUAUGGGGCAAGCGUUAUCCGGAUUAACUGGGUGAAAAGGGAGCGAAGGCGGCACGGCAAGCAUGAGGUGAAAGCCCACGGCCCAACCGCGGGACUGCAUUGGGAACUACCGGGCUGGAGUGCCGGAGAGGUAGGCGGAAUUCCUAGUGUAGCGGUGAAAUGCGUAGAUAUUAGGAGGAACACCAGUGGCGAAGGCGGCCUACUGGACGGUGACUGACGCUGAGGCUCGAAAGCGUGGGGAGCAAACAGGAUUAGAUACCCGGGUAGUC
RNAcentral lists this ribosomal RNA (442 nucleotides) under uncultured bacterium. RNAcentral describes it as "partial 16S ribosomal RNA". It matches the Rfam family "Bacterial small subunit ribosomal RNA", at positions 338 to 795 of the family's 1533-position model. The record is from RNAcentral.